GCCCUGAUAGUUCAAUGGAUAGAACAAGGCACUCCUAAGGCUUAGAUGUAGGUUCGAUUCCUACUCAGGGCACAA
This 75-nucleotide transfer RNA is filed under the name Anaerolineae bacterium. Its description in RNAcentral is "tRNA-Arg". It matches the Rfam family "tRNA". From Rfam's summary of the family: Transfer RNA (tRNA) molecules are approximately 80 nucleotides in length. Their secondary structure includes four short double-helical elements and three loops (D, anti-codon, and T loops). The record is from RNAcentral. Lineage: Bacteria; Bacillati; Chloroflexota; Anaerolineae.